GCCCGGAUCGUCCACCUGGUGCGACGAUUGGCGCCUGAACGCCGAAUGCGGGUUCGACUCCCGUUCCGGGCA
Molecule: transfer RNA, 72 nt
Filed under: Bifidobacterium bifidum
Lineage: Bacteria; Bacillati; Actinomycetota; Actinomycetes; Bifidobacteriales; Bifidobacteriaceae
Description: tRNA-OTHER
Rfam family: tRNA
About the family: Transfer RNA (tRNA) molecules are approximately 80 nucleotides in length. Their secondary structure includes four short double-helical elements and three loops (D, anti-codon, and T loops).
Source: RNAcentral